Molecule: microRNA, 19 nt
Filed under: Corchorus capsularis
Lineage: Eukaryota; Viridiplantae; Streptophyta; Magnoliopsida; Malvales; Malvaceae
Description: sRNA CCACVL1_09176
Source: RNAcentral
CUUUCAGAAAAACAAACUU